RNAcentral lists this long non-coding RNA (589 nucleotides) under Medicago truncatula (barrel medic). RNAcentral describes it as "long non-coding RNA (MTRU_LNC004754)". The record is from RNAcentral. Lineage: Eukaryota; Viridiplantae; Streptophyta; Magnoliopsida; Fabales; Fabaceae.
UUAGAAACCUCUUAUUCUCCCGCUUUUCCUUCCCAAAUUCUCAUCUCCUCUUCUCUUUUCCAGCAACAAACACAACAUCAACCCAACAUCAAUAACAACCCACAACAACAACAAGCAGAAACAGUGACUCUCACAAACAUUUUCAAACCAAGAAUUUUUUUUCACAUCGAUCUCCUUAAUUUUCUUCAACAACGCAUAACAGCACAGCACAACAGUCAGCCAACAACAACAACAUCAAAAUACCAGAAUUUCAUAAAAAACAUUAAAUCCAUCGACUUUCCAGAAUCCCUAUUUUUGAGCAAGAACAAAAUUCCAGAAUCCCUAUUUUUUAGUAAGAACAAAAUUCCAGAAUUCCUCUUUCUUCACCUCAAAUCCAUCGAUUUUCCCUCUUUCACAAAUAGGGUUAGAUUCAACAAGAGGGAAAAUUAGGGAUUCAAUGAAAAAGAGAUGGGGGACGAGAUAAUAGAAGAGAAGAACAUAGAGAAGAAAAGAGAUGGGGGUGAGAGAAUAUAGGAGAAGAGAAGAGAAGAUCAGAGAGAAGAAAAGAGAUGGGGGUGAGAGAAGAGAAGAGAAAAAUGAGAAGGGAGAU